RNAcentral lists this ribosomal RNA (253 nucleotides) under uncultured bacterium. RNAcentral describes it as "partial 16S ribosomal RNA". It matches the Rfam family "Bacterial small subunit ribosomal RNA", at positions 524 to 776 of the family's 1533-position model. The record is from RNAcentral.
GACGUAGGGCGCGAGCGUUGUCCGGAUUUAUUGGGCGUAAAGAGCUCGUAGGCGGCUUGUCGCGUCGUCCGUGAAAACUUGGGGCUCAACCCCAAGCUUGCGGUCGAUACGGGCAGACUAGAGUUCGGUAGGGGAGACUGGAAUUCCUGGUGUAGCGGUGAAAUGCGCAGAUAUCGAGAGGAACACCAGUGGCGAAGGCGAGUCCCUGGACACUUCCUGACACUGAGGCACGAAAGCUAGGGGAGCAAACAGG